Molecule: long non-coding RNA, 206 nt
Filed under: Vigna radiata
Lineage: Eukaryota; Viridiplantae; Streptophyta; Magnoliopsida; Fabales; Fabaceae
Description: long non-coding RNA (VRAD_LNC003309)
Source: RNAcentral
GGGGUAACAGCAAGGUUGGUUGAUUAAAUUGACAUAAAACUAAGGAAUAGAUCAUUAAAACAAAGUCAAUUUUCAAAGACUUUGCUAAAGGGAUAAAUAUUACAUAGGGUUUGAUUGAAUUAGAAUUAGAUUUUUUAUUCCAAUAGUUUGUACAAUAUAAAUAUUUUUUUGUUUUCCUUACAAAUGACAUUAUUAUUGUCAUGGCA